Musa acuminata AAA Group (dessert banana) is the source of this 7776-nucleotide RNA transcript. It is a transcript of the gene named vicilin-like seed storage protein At2g18540, with no coding region annotated. The transcript is spliced from 3 exons. Lineage: Eukaryota; Viridiplantae; Streptophyta; Magnoliopsida; Zingiberales; Musaceae. The record is from RefSeq and is a predicted model, not a curated record.
GGGGCUGCGGACGGGAUUGCGGCCGCAGCGGCAGCGACUGCGUAUGCAGCAGUUAUGUCUGCGAGAGAAGGGAGGAAGGAAGGUAGUGCGGUGGAAGGGGCUGCGAUUGUAGCAGCGGCAACGGCGGCGGCUGUGGCAGCUGCGUUUGGGAAAGAAAAAGAAGGAAUGAGAGUAAGAGAGAGCAGGUGACUGUGCCUCGAUGUUCGACACGUGGUGUAGUUGCGAAGAAAGGAAGAAAACGGGAGCACAAAACGAAACAGAGAGAGGACACGGAGGAAAAGUAGAAGGAUUUGGGCUGGCACCUUCUUUGGAUCUUCGGAUCGAAAUCUUUGAAAGGUCAGCUUGUCACUCUUCGAGAUGUUUGAUUUGGGCUGAGGCAGUGGAUAGCUAUUCAGAAUAAUGGGCAAGUCUGGUUGGUUAUUACGAUAUUGUUGUAUAAGUAUGUCUUGUAUAUAAUGAAAUGUUGUCGAUGAACCGAAAUAGAUAUACUGUGUCCAAGUGUUAGGAGAUCUCUCUUAUUUGGAAUUUCAGAAUGUUAAGUCUAAUUUAUGGUGAUAUGAACUUGUGGUGAAUAGUUGGAGUUCUGAUUGUAUAAUUUAUUUAGCUUGUGGAUUUAUAAAUGUUGUUCAUGUUUGUCAAGUUGGCUUGGGUUGCCAUAAAUGUGAAUUAUCGAGUGAUGUGAUAUAUGAUUAUAAACUGCACAGGUUUUAUGGAUGUGAAUAUGAAUAGAAUGUUUUCAGUGUCCUCAAACGUUAGUUUGGAUCCUGGAUUGGUCUACGGUGAAGAUUUUAAAAAUCAUGGAUAUUUUGAGGGGCGUGACAGAGGUGGUAUCAGAGCCAGGUUUCGAUCCUGGGACCUGUGGGUUAUGGGCCCACCACGCUUCCGCUGCGCCACUCUGAUUCAAUAUCCCCAAUCAAUCCUUUCAUUCCCCUUAAUUAAUCAGAAACAAUGAAAUAGGAGGACCAAAUGUCCUCAUCAUCCCAGAUUCCUAAAAUACAUCAAAGAAAAUUUCCACCAAUCACUAUAGUUCAUUAGACCUCAAUAUAUUUUGCACGUCAACAUAUCAAAUAUUUGGCUUAAUAUUUCAUCAUGGGGUGCUCCGGUGUUAGUUAAAAGAAAUGUAUGGAACAUUGAGGCUUUGUAAGGAUUAUAGACAGUUGAAUUAGGUGACCAUAAAAAAAGAGUAUUUUCUGAAGUAACGACUUGCUCGAUUAAUUACAGGGUACGCAAGUAUUUUUAGAAAUUGAUUGAAGGUCGGGUUACCGUCUAUUGAGGAUCAAGGAGGAGAAUAUUUCGGUCACUCGUGGAUAAUUAUGUAAUUGUAUUUUAUUGAUGAAACUAUUUAAGAGUAGGAGGAGGAAAUAAAGAUAUCAUAAUCCUCAUCUUUUCAUCGAUUGAGCUAUGAUCAAUUUAGAGGACUAAAUUUUCUUUUAAGGGGGGGAGAGUGUAAUAUCCCUCGCUUUUAAAAAUUAUUAAUAAAGAUUUAUAUGUAAAUUGGAGGACCUAUAUGUAAAUAUAGAAAUUACAAGGACUAAACUGUUAAGUUGCAAAAAAAGAAAAAAAAAGGGAAAACCGAAAAUUCGGUAUUAUCCCACCGCCUCCCACGCACUCUGUUUCUUCCAGAAACAGAGAGAGCGGUGGGGCGUGAGGAGAAGGAGAGUGGUAGAAGAAGAGAGGAAGAAGAGGGAGAAGAGAAGAAGAAGAAGAAGAAGAAGAAGAAGAGGGAAAAGAAGAGAGGAGGAAGAAGAGGGAGUAGAGAAGAAGAAGAAGGAGAAGAAGAAGAAGAGGAGGUGGCUGCAGUGAGGGCUGCAGCGAGAAGCUGUGGGGCGUGGGGAGAAGAAGAAGAAGAAGAAGAAGAAGAAGAAGAAGAAGAAGAAGAGGGAAAAGAAGAGAGGAGGAAGAAGAGGGAGUAGAGAAGAAGAAGAAGGAGAAGAAGAAGAAGAGGAGGUGGCUGCAGCGAGGGCUGCAGCGAGAAGCUGUGGGGCGUGGGGAGAAGAAGAGAGGAAGAAGAGGGAGAAGAGAAGAAGAAGAAGAAGAAGAAGAGAAGAGGAUAGCUGCGGCAAGGCUGCAGCGAGGAGGUGUGUGGGGUUGGGGAGGAAAAGGGAAGAGGAGAAGAAGAGGGGAAAAGAGAGGCAGCUGCAGCAGCCAGGGCUGCAGCACCUCUGUUUCCCGCAGGUGGAAACAGAGGAGAGGAUGUGUGGGGCGUUGAGGAUGAAAAGGGAAGAAGAAGAAGAAGAAGAAGAAGAAGAAGAAGAAGAAGAAGAAGAAGAUAGCUGCGGCAAGGCUGCAGCGAGGAGAUGUGUGGCCUUGGGGAGGAAAAGGGAAGAGGGGAAGAGGAGAAGAAGAAGAAGAGGAAGAGAAAGAGGUGUGAUACCUCUGUUUCCUGCAGAGGAAACAGAGGAGAGGGUGUGUGUGACGCCGGGGAAGAAGGGGCUGCAGCUGCGGCGAUGGCAGCUGCAGCUGGAAGAGAAGAAGAAGAGGAAGAUGAGCAGGGGAGGAGGGAGAGGUUGCGGCCGUGGCUGCGGCCGCGACUGCAGCAGUUGCAGCGGGGAGAGAAGAAGAAGAAAGGAAGGAGAAGGAAGAGGAGAAGGGAAAGAAGUAGCUGCGGCUGCGGUUGUGGCAGCUGCAGCUAUGGCAGGGAAAGAGGAAGAGAAAAAGGAAAGGAAGAAGAAGAGAAAGGGAAGGAGAGGAAGAAGAGAGGAAGAGGAGAAGGGGCUGCGGCUGCGGCGAUGGCAGCUGCAGCUGUGGCUGGGAAAGAAGAGAAGGAAAGGAAGAAGAAGAGAAAGGGAAGGAGAGGAAGAAGAGAGGAAGAGGAGAAGGGGUGGCAGCUGCAGUUGGAAGAGAAGUAGGAGAGGAAAUAGAGUAGCAGAGGAAGAAGUGGCUGCGGUUGUGGUGGCUGCGGCCAUGGCUGCGACUGCGACUGCGACUGCGGCAGUUGCAGCUGGGAAAGAAAGGAAAGGAAAGGGGGAAAAAGGGGCUGCGGACGGGAUUGCGGCCGCAGCGGCAGCGACUGCGUAUGCAGCAGUUAUGUCUGCGAGAGAAGGGAGGAAGGAAGGUAGUGCGGUGGAAGGGGCUGCGAUUGUAGCAGCGGCAACGGCGGCGGCUGUGGCAGCUGCGUUUGGGAAAGAAAAAGAAGGAAUGAGAGUAAGAGAGAGCAGGUGACUGUGCCUCGAUGUUCGACACGUGGUGUAGUUGCGAAGAAAGGAAGAAAACGGGAGCACAAAACGAAACAGAGAGAGGACACGGAGGAAAAGUAGAAGGAUUUGGGCUGGCACCUUCUUUGGAUCUUCGGAUCGAAAUCUUUGAAAGGCAAGGUUACACUUCCUGAAUGUGAUAAUUCUAGGGGUGUGACAAUUGCAGCUAGAAGAGAAGAACGGGAGGGAAGAAGAGGAAGAGGGGAAGGUGGCUGCGGUAGCUGUGGCAGCGAUGGUGGCUUCAGUAGCUGCUUUUGGGAAAGAGAAAGAAAGGAAAGGGAAAAAAUAAGGGGCUACGGCCAUGAUUACGGCAGCGGCGGUAGCGGCUGCAUUUGCAACAGCUGUGUCUGCGAAAGAAGAGGAGAAAGAAGGUAGUGCGGUGGAAGGGGCUACGACUGUGGCAGCGACAGUGGCGGUGGCUACGACAACUGCAAUUGGGAAAGAAAAAAAAAAGAAGGAAUGAGAGUAAGGGAGAGCAGGUGAAUAUGCCCCUAUGUUCUACACGAGCUACAGUUGUGGAGGAAGAAAGAAGAUUGGUGUAGAAAAUGAAAAUAGGGAGAGGAGACAGAGAAAAAUAGAAGAAGGAUUCUUGCGUACAUCUUCUUCGGAUCUUCGGACCAAAAUCUUCGAAAGGCAAGUGUCCCGAUCUUUUCUCCUACAAGUGUUCUAAUCUCAUCCUAUAUCAAUAUUAGUCUUUGUUCUUAUAUUAAUUCUGAAUAAUCUGAAAGAUUUUUGUUUAGAACUUGAUAUUUCUCUUGUUAGACACAAAACCAUAGAUCUGGAAUUUUUCGGUAAACUGACCCCUAUAAAUUAUUUUAGCCUUCAUUUUUAGCACUAAAUAUGGAUUUAGGCAGGACCUCAUUUGAAAUUAGACUCUUAUACCUUUCUUUUGACACUUAUAUUAAAAAUUUUGGAUACCGAAUACUUACCCAAACUUCUGUUUCAAAUGAGCCUAUGGAUGCUACAAAACAGGGAUCAACAUUUCUGACCUUUCGAUACUAAAAUGCCUACAAGUCCUUGUUAGAAAUUCUGAUUUAUACUAAACUGACUUCAUUUGAAACUAGACUUGUAGCUCUUUCUUUUAAUAUCUAGAUUGAAAAUUUUGAAAUUCAAAAGCCUAUCCUGUUAUCUAUUGAAUGUAACCCUAUAAAUUCUACAAAAUAGUGAUUUUAUUUUUGACCUUUGGUUACUGAAUCAUUGGUAACUCCUUGUUGGAAAUCUUGAUUCAUACAAAACUUAUUUCAUCAGAAAAUAAAUUGAUAUAUCUUUCAACAAUAGCUUUCUUGAGGGUAUUGGAGCAUAAUUAAUAAUCUAAAGUAUUUGUUCAAUGUGCCUCUCGAACUCUAUUAGAAAUCGAGCUUUGGUCGAAUUCGCAUAUUCUGGUUUCAUUCAUUUGGAAAUGGAUUUCAUUCAGUUCCUUCACUGAAUUGAGGUUUAUAUUAAUGCUUGAAUUCUAGUUUGCUUUUGUCUGUAAGUUAUUUAUAUUCUUGAAACAUUUUGUGUAACAUUUAUGCUAUAUCAUAUGGACUCAUAUAGGCACAUAUAUAUCCCAUUAUUCUAGAUUUCCUUUCGAUACAUGUCUAUUCCAGUUUUAUUCCUUUGGAUAUUGAAUUCAUCUAAUUUCUUAUUUGAAUUGAGCUAUAUAUGAUUGCUUGGAAUCUGUGUGUACUCUUGCUUUCAUUUCCUAUCAAAUUUGAAUACAUUUGUGAAAGAUUAUUGCUUGCAUCGCAUUGACUCGUAAAGGCACAUGUACGUUUUGUUGUUCCGCGUGUGCUUCCGAUAUGUGUUAUUUAUUAUUCAUACUGCCCUUUUGUACUCUGGUGUUGUGGGAUAAUGUAAACUUUUGCCAGAAAUGGUAAAGGGAGUUAUACAUAGAGCAUGCGAUGCUCUACCGACCCCCUCUAACUUCACCUAGAUGUGGGUGGAUGGAGCUCCCACACGUGGGAGACUUAUGUCUGGUUGUCAUUCAUGUUGAAUCUCGUAUUUUGAUGAUGAAACCAAUUGAUAAUUGUGUUUAUAUUUUAAUCUACAUUUUGAGUGACAUAGGAUGCUUCGAUCAGGAUGAGACAAUUAAAGUAGGAAAAAUCAUGUUGGGCCAAAGGAACAGGUCAGAAGAUUGGACGUCGGGCCGAUGGAUCGGUCGAUGUAUCCAUAGAAGGCUUCAGGCUGUGGACUCAGGCAACGGGCCAAGAAGAUUGAGUAUUGUGCCAAGGAUAUCAAACUUGCGGAGUCAACUGGCCGAUUGGGCAAUAGGCCGUAGGAGAGGACGAUAUAUCGAAGAAUCGAACAAAGCGUCGAGGGACCAAUGACAUGCCAGACAACUUGGUUAAUUGCUUAGGAUUAAUUAUCUCGAUCAAAAUUUUAUUUUACAUGUGCAGGAUUAACUACGAUGGAAGUAAGACAUGCAACAGGAGUUGUGCCGGAGUCAAGACUAUGAUCACGUUGGGAGUUCGAGAGUUCGAUGGAAGUCUGGACGGUCGUCGGAGGUUCUGCGGGAACAAAUCCGUGAAGUCCAGGAGCUUGCCAAAGAAGCUCAUCGGAACUCGCCAAGUGGAUCAUCGUAAGUCCAGGAGUUUGCUAGAAGUCUGCUGGAGCGUCGCCGAAGGUUCAUCGGAUGUUCACCGGAAGUUCGUCGGAAGUUCGCUAGAAGCUCGCUGGAAGAAGCGAUUGACGCACCGGAGCAAGUUGCAGUAAAUGUCUUAAGAAAUAUCGUAGUUAGCAUGUAGAUUAAGUUAGGAAUGGGAGGUGAUCCCAUUAACUUAAUCUGGGAGCAAUUGGGCCCUUGAUAGACCCAAAUUGGACCGAAUAGAUCAACCCAUUCGGACCAGAAUUCCUGCCAAGCGUUGGCACUGCUAGGGCCGGCGGUGGCAUCGCCCGGGAGAUGGUCUCCCAGGAAAGCUGGGUGGUGCAACCGCCUAGGUCAGGCGGUGGCACCGCCUGGGCUAAGUCUCCAAGCGAGACUGGGCGGUGGAACUGCCCCAGUCAGGUGGUGGCACCGCUCGAGCUCGAUCUCUGAGCUUUGUUAGGUGGUCGUACCGCCCAGUCUAGCGGUAGUGCUGCCAGGACCCCGGAAAUCCGAGAGGUGAUAUUUUUGAGCUCCAAAUUCAAACCAGUUUGGGGCCUAUAUAUACCCCACCCUUUCCUACAUUGAAAGGCACCAAAAGCUUGAUCUUAUUCUAUGAUUUUAGAGCUCAAAAGUGUUGUAAAGGCUAAAAGUUCUCCUCCCUCUUUUCUUCCAAGUUUUGAUCUUUUAAGAGAGGAGAGAAAAUUCUAUAAGGGUUGUCUCCUAAGCCCGUCAAAAGGAGUGAAACUGUAAAAGGGUGGUUAGCCUUCGCCUAUUGAAGGAAGGCCUCUAGUGGACAUCGGUGACCUCGUCGAAGGAGGAAGCCAAAAGUGGAUGUAGGUCAAGUUUGACCGAGCCACUAUAAAAUUACGGUGCUCUCUGGUUUGCAUUUCUUCUUACUGCUUACCUUACUGCAAACCUUCAUAUGUGCUUUACUUCCUUAUUACUUUUGCUGCACUCCUUUAUGAACUCGCUUUUAAGUUAAGUUUCCGAAAAUAAUUUUAUAUCGGAAACGAUUUCAUCGUACGAAUGUUGUUUUAAUCGUCGAAAGUUUUUCACUAUACUAAUUCCCCCCCCCCCUCUUAAUGCUCUUGAUCCUAAUAAUUCAGAAAUGGAUGAAUCACAUUCUAUUUGUGGUCCCACUACACUUUCUGUAUGUUUGAUAUGAUGUCCAAAGCUUUGGUUAUAUAUUUAUGUAUGCGCUUUAGAUAAGAAAUAUAUGAAUGCAAUGUCAAAGACGACGUUUCAGCUUCUGUUUCGUAUUCAUUCUUUGAUAUGCUCUGAAAUGGUUUAUAUAUCGUUGAUAUGUUCUGAAAUAUUUCCUAUGCUAUUGAUAUGUUCCGAAAUGCUCCCUAUGCCUCUGAAAUGUUCCUACGCUAUUGAUAUGCUUUGAAAUAUUUCAUAUGCCAUUGAUAUAUUCCAAAUUGUUCCAUUUGUCAUUGAUAUGCCGCGAAACAUUUUAUACGCCAUUAAUAAGCUCCAAAAUGUUUCAUUUGUUAUUGGGAUACUCCGAAAUAUUCCAUAUGCCAUUGAUAUGCUCCAGAACACUUCCUAUGCUAUUGAUAUGCUCCUAUUACUCUAUGCUUCAUUUGUUUUGGAACCAAAUAUGUUUCGAUUUAAAUGACACAUAUGGUUUUGACAUAUAUGAUUUUGUAUCUAAUGAGAUGGUAUCCUUGAGAAUUCUUGUAUUCUGCCUUGCAAUAUGAUACCUUACUUGUUUGAAACUGUUCUUUUUGUUCUAAAUAUGUUUUGUCACUUGCUGAGCUGUUUUUAGCUCACUCCGAUGUUAUAUAAAUCUUUUAGGUUAGCUUGUCACUCUUUGAGAUGUUUGAAUUGGGUUGAGACAGUGGAGAGCUAUUCAGAAUUAUGGGCAAGUCUUGUUGGUUGUUAUGCUAUUGUUGUAUAAGCAUAUUUUGUAUGUAAUGAAAUGUUGUCGAUGAACCAGAAUGAAUAUAUCAUGUAAAAGUGUUUGAAAAUCUCUCUUAUUUAUUUCGAAAUGUUAAGUCUAGUUUAUGAUGA